This 762-nucleotide ribosomal RNA is filed under the name Microsporidium sp. BFAS3 FAS. RNAcentral's name for it is "SSU rRNA". It matches the Rfam family "Microsporidia small subunit ribosomal RNA", at positions 1 to 788 of the family's 1311-position model. Lineage: Eukaryota; Fungi; Microsporidia. The record is from RNAcentral.
CACCAGGUUGAUUCUGCCUGACGUAGAUGCUAUUUUCUGAGAUUAAGCCAUGCAUGUUUCUGCUCAAAGGACAAAUAGCUCAGUAAAACUAGGCGCUCUAACCUCGGCAUCUUCUAACUUUGGGAAACUAAGGCUAACGGCUGAGGAUGAGGCCUAGCACUAUCAGCUUGUAGGUAGUGUAAUGGACUACCUAGGCGGUAACGGUUAACGGGAUACGAGAGUGUGAUACCGGAGAGGGAGCCUGAGAGAUUGCUCCCACAUCCAAGGAUGGCAGCAGGCGCGAAAAUUGUCCACUCUUACAGGAGACAGUUAUGAAAAGUAAAAACGGUAGGUCUUUUAAAGAAAGAUUCUAAAAUUGGAGGGCAAGUUUGGUGCCAGCAGCCGCGGUAAUACCAACUCCAAGAGUGUGUAUGAGAGUUGUUGCAGUUAAAAGGUCCGUAGUCGUUCAUUGAAACAAGGCGCAGCCUGGAUUUAAUGUGGAGGGGCUGAUGGGGACCAUAGUAUACAGUGGCGAGAGAUGAAAUGUCUAAACCCUCUGUGGACUCAGCGAGGCGAAAGCGGUGGUCUAGUAAGUGCUCGGUGAUCAAGGACGAAGGGUAGAGGAGCGAAAGUGAUUAGAUACCGCUGUAGUUUUACCAGUAAAAGAUGCCGACUAUCCUGGCGCGCGCGGGCGCAAGCGAUGCGCGGGCUGGGAAUAGAGAAAUCGAUAAGUGUUCGGGCUCUGGGGAUAGUAUGCUCGCAAGAGUGAAAAUUAAAGAAAUU